UGCAAGUCGAGCGGUAACAGAAAUUAGCUUGCUAAUUUGCUGACGAGCGGCGGACGGGUGAGUAAUGCCUGGGAAUAUGCCUUAGUGUGGGGGAUAACUAUUGGAAACGAUAGCUAAUACCGCAUAAUGUCUUCGGACCAAAGAGGGGGACCUUCGGGCCUCUCGCGCUAAGAUUAGCCCAGGUGAGAUUAGCUAGUUGGUGAGGUAAGAGCUCACCAAGGCGACGAUCUCUAGCUGGUCUGAGAGGAUGAUCAGCCACACUGGAACUGAGACACGGUCCAGACUCCUACGGGAGGCAGCAGUGGGGAAUAUUGCACAAUGGGCGAAAGCCUGAUGCAGCCAUGCCGCGUGUAUGAAGAAGGCCUUCGGGUUGUAAAGUACUUUCAGUAGGGAGGAAGGCGCUGUCGUUAAUAGCGGCUUCGUUUGACGUUACCUACAGAAGAAGCACCGGCUAACUCCGUGCCAGCAGCCGCGGUAAUACGGAGGGUGCGAGCGUUAAUCGGAAUUACUGGGGGUAAAGCGCAUGCAGGUGGUUCAUCAAGUCAGAUGUGAAAGCCCGGGGCUCAACCUCGGAACCGCAUUUGAAACUGGUGAACUAGAGUGCUGUAGAGGGGGGUAGAAAUUUCAGGUGUAGCGGUGAAAUGCGUAGAGAUCUGAAGGAAU
Molecule: ribosomal RNA, 663 nt
Filed under: uncultured Vibrio sp.
Lineage: Bacteria; Pseudomonadati; Pseudomonadota; Gammaproteobacteria; Vibrionales; Vibrionaceae
Description: bacterial SSU rRNA
Rfam family: Bacterial small subunit ribosomal RNA
Source: RNAcentral